Long non-coding RNA from Hemicordylus capensis (graceful crag lizard), 351 nucleotides. RefSeq lists it as uncharacterized. The transcript has 3 exons. The record is from RefSeq and is a predicted model, not a curated record. NCBI's taxonomy places the organism in Eukaryota, Metazoa, Chordata, Lepidosauria, Squamata, Cordylidae.
GGUGAUCCACAGAAGAUAGAGGACCAAACACUGAGGCUGGUGUUUGACACGGAAACGUUUGUUUGUGUUUUAAACAUGCUUUUAGCAACAUUUUAAACAAUGUUUUACAAGAUGUUUUAGGCAUUCAGCUGCUGAAGAAGAAAUUUGGAAUCAUCUUUCAACAUUAGAUUAGACAGGAGACUUAGUUAAUCCAAAGAAGCCACAUGCCAAAAUCGCUCUGAGGCCAGGCCAACAAAGUGACUGGUUGUGAGUAUGCCCAACGACCUUACCUAGGAGAAGAUACUACAUGGUAUCAGGCCUGAACCUUUAGCAAGCUUGAAGUAUUCUGCAUGGGAGGCCUAGACUUGGAGA